GAUGAACGCUGGCGGCGUGCCUAAUACAUGCAAGUCGAGCGAACGGACGAGAAGCUUGCUUCUCUGAUGUUAGCGGCGGACGGGUGAGUAACACGUGGAUAACCUACCUAUAAGACUGGGAUAACUUCGGGAAACCGGAGCUAAUACCGGAUAAUAUUUUGAACCGCAUGGUUCAAAAGUGAAAGACGGUCUUGCUGUCACUUAUAGAUGGAUCCGCGCUGCAUUAGCUAGUUGGUAAGGUAACGGCUUACCAAGGCAACGAUGCAUAGCCGACCUGAGAGGGUGCUCGGCCACACUGGAACUGAGACACGGUCCAGACUCCUACGGGAGGCAGCAGUAGGGAAUCUUCCGCAAUGGGCGAAAGCCUGACGGAGCAACGCCGCGUGAGUGAUGAAGGUCUUCGGAUCGUAAAACUCUGUUAUUAGGGAAGAACAUAUGUGUAAGUAACUGUGCACAUCUUGACGGUACCUAAUCAGAAAGCCACGGCUAACUACGU
This 496-nucleotide ribosomal RNA is filed under the name uncultured bacterium. Its description in RNAcentral is "partial 16S ribosomal RNA". It matches the Rfam family "Bacterial small subunit ribosomal RNA", at positions 28 to 506 of the family's 1533-position model. The record is from RNAcentral.